Molecule: ribosomal RNA, 710 nt
Filed under: Escherichia coli
Lineage: Bacteria; Pseudomonadati; Pseudomonadota; Gammaproteobacteria; Enterobacterales; Enterobacteriaceae
Description: partial 23S ribosomal RNA
Rfam family: Bacterial large subunit ribosomal RNA
Source: RNAcentral
GGAAAGGCGCGCGAUACAGGGUGACAGCCCCGUACACAAAAAUGCACAUGCUGUGAGCUCGAUGAGUAGGGCGGGACACGUGGUAUCCUGUCUGAAUAUGGGGGGACCAUCCUCCAAGGCUAAAUACUCCUGACUGACCGAUAGUGAACCAGUACCGUGAGGGAAAGGCGAAAAGAACCCCGGCGAGGGGAGUGAAAAAGAACCUGAAACCGUGUACGUACAAGCAGUGGGAGCACGCUUAGGCGUGUGACUGCGUACCUUUUGUAUAAUGGGUCAGCGACUUAUAUUCUGUAGCAAGGUUAACCGAAUAGGGGAGCCGAAGGGAAACCGAGUCUUAACUGGGCGUUAAGUUGCAGGGUAUAGACCCGAAACCCGGUGAUCUAGCCAUGGGCAGGUUGAAGGUUGGGUAACACUAACUGGAGGACCGAACCGACUAAUGUUGAAAAAUUAGCGGAUGACUUGUGGCUGGGGGUGAAAGGCCAAUCAAACCGGGAGAUAGCUGGUUCUCCCCGAAAGCUAUUUAGGUAGCGCCUCGUGAAUUCAUCUCCGGGGGUAGAGCACUGUUUCGGCAAGGGGGUCAUCCCGACUUACCAACCCGAUGCAAACUGCGAAUACCGGAGAAUGUUAUCACGGGAGACACACGGCGGGUGCUAACGUCCGUCGUGAAGAGGGAAACAACCCAGACCGCCAGCUAAGGUCCCAAAGUCAUG